CAAUGUACGCAGGGGAGUCCCAACCGAGGGACUGAGAGGCGGCUGGCCCGCUACGGGCAGUGUCGCGACCCUUUGAACCUGAUCCAGUUGACACUGGCGUAGGAAGCUAGGGCGCGUGAUUU
Molecule: non-coding RNA, 122 nt
Filed under: Roseovarius sp.
Lineage: Bacteria; Pseudomonadati; Pseudomonadota; Alphaproteobacteria; Rhodobacterales; Roseobacteraceae
Description: TPP sequence
Rfam family: TPP riboswitch aptamer (THI element)
About the family: Vitamin B(1) in its active form thiamin pyrophosphate (TPP) is an essential coenzyme that is synthesised by coupling of pyrimidine and thiazole moieties in bacteria. The previously detected thiamin-regulatory element, thi box was extended, resulting in a new, highly conserved RNA secondary structure, the THI element, which is widely distributed in eubacteria and also occurs in some archaea.
Source: RNAcentral